Long non-coding RNA from Balaenoptera musculus (blue whale), 317 nucleotides. RefSeq lists it as uncharacterized. The record is from RefSeq and is a predicted model, not a curated record. The transcript is spliced from 3 exons. NCBI's taxonomy places the organism in Eukaryota, Metazoa, Chordata, Mammalia, Artiodactyla, Balaenopteridae.
GGGAAGCAAGGUGCUCCAGUCAACAACCGCAGCUGAGCCCCUAGCAGAAGCCAGAACCCAUGCUCAUCCCUGUGAGUGAGCUCUCUCAGAUGUACCAGCCUAACGGAGCCUCCAGCUGAUGGCAGCCCCAGACGAGGCUCCACGGCAGUCAUGCUUGUGAAGGGAUGGAGGUAUUGCUACAAACUGCUCCCUGAGGCACAUGGAAAGCCGUAUCCUCAGAAGGUGCCUUGCUCCUCAGGCUGGUGGCCUUGCUCAUAUCAGGUGUCUGAAGGAGGCAGGUUCUGAGCAUCUGUGUCCUGAUGGCUGCUGGAGCUUCU